This 450-nucleotide ribosomal RNA is filed under the name uncultured Diversispora. RNAcentral's name for it is "SSU rRNA". It matches the Rfam family "Eukaryotic small subunit ribosomal RNA", at positions 569 to 1021 of the family's 1831-position model. Lineage: Eukaryota; Fungi; Glomeromycota; Glomeromycetes; Diversisporales; Diversisporaceae. The record is from RNAcentral.
AGCAGCCGCGGUAAUUCCAGCUCCAAUAGCGUAUAUUAAAGUUGUUGCAGUUAAAAAGCUCGUAGUUGAACUUCGGGGUUUACCCAUUGGUCAGGCUUAAUUGUCUGUACUGGUGAGAUAAAUCUCUACCUCCUGAGGAACUUUCAUGUCAUUAAUUUGGUGUGAUUGGAAAUCAGGACUAUUACUUUGAAAAAUUAGAGUGUUUAAAGCAGGCUAAAGUCUGAAUACAUUAGCAUGGAAUAAUGAAAUAGGACGGAUUUGAUUCUAUUUCGUUGGUUUCUAGGAUCACCGUAAUGAUUAAUAGGGAUAGUUGGGGGCAUUAGUAUUCAAUCGUCAGAGGUGAAAUUCUUGGAUUUAUUGAAGACUAACUACUGCGAAAGCAUUUGCCAAGGAUGUUUUCAUUAAUCAAGAACGAAAGUUAGGGGAUCGAAGACGAUCAGAUACCGUCGU